Molecule: long non-coding RNA, 244 nt
Organism: Hipposideros armiger (great roundleaf bat)
Lineage: Eukaryota; Metazoa; Chordata; Mammalia; Chiroptera; Hipposideridae
Exons: 3
Source: RefSeq, a predicted model, not a curated record
ACCCUAACUGAAGAUACAGAUUGUAACCUGAAACCAUAUUGGAAAGUCUCUUUUAAGAUGACUCAGGGCUGGAGGCCAGAGGAGGCAGGAGUCACCUCACUUCCCACACAGCAAGGGCAAUCUUUAAAGGCAGUAAGGUGUGACGCUUCAGACUGGCAGCUUGGCAAGUCGCGGCCCAUGGAUACCAGCACACGGGAAUCUGGACGGCGCGCUCUGACAGCAGUCAGCACUGGGAACAAAAGGA